GAUGAACGCUAGCUACAGGCUUAACACAUGCAAGUCGAGGGGCAGCAGGACGAUAGCUUGCUAUUGUUGCUGGCGACCGGCGCACGGGUGAGUAACGCGUAUCCAACCUUCCCUAUACUAGAGAAUAGCCCGGCGAAAGUCGGAUUAAUACUCUAUGUUGUAUUUCGAGGACAUCUGAAGAAUACCAAAGGUUUACCGGUAUAGGAUGGGGAUGCGUCUGAUUAGGUUGUUGGCGGGGUAACGGCCCACCAAGCCGACGAUCAGUAGGGGUUCUGAGAGGAAGGUCCCCCACAUUGGAACUGAGACACGGUCCAAACUCC
RNAcentral lists this ribosomal RNA (320 nucleotides) under uncultured Prevotella sp. Its description in RNAcentral is "bacterial SSU rRNA". It matches the Rfam family "Bacterial small subunit ribosomal RNA", at positions 28 to 339 of the family's 1533-position model. The record is from RNAcentral. Lineage: Bacteria; Pseudomonadati; Bacteroidota; Bacteroidia; Bacteroidales; Prevotellaceae.